GACCUCGGAUCAGGUAGGGAUACCCGCUGAACUUAAGCAUAUCAAUAAGCGGAGGAAAAGAAACCAACAGGGAUUGCCUUAGUAACUGCGAGUGAAGCGGCAAAAGCUCAAAUUUGAAAUCUGGCGUCUUUGGCGUCCGAAUUGUAAUUUGGAGAGGCAUCUUCGGUGAUGGCGCUGCCCUAAGUUCCUUGGAACAGGAUGACAUAGAGGGUGAGAUCCCCGUGCCUGGGUGGCUGUCCAUCUCCAUGUGAAGUGUCUUCGACGAGUCGAGUUGUUUGGGAAUGCAGCUCAAAAUGGGUGGUAAAUUCCAUCUAAAGCUAAAUAUUGGCGAGAGACCGAUAGCGCACAAGUAGAGUGAUCGAAAGAUGAAAAGCACUUUGAAAAGAGAGUUAAAAAGUACGUGAAAUUGUUGAAAGGGAAGCGC
RNAcentral lists this ribosomal RNA (424 nucleotides) under uncultured fungus. RNAcentral's name for it is "eukaryotic LSU rRNA". It matches the Rfam family "Eukaryotic large subunit ribosomal RNA", at positions 1 to 422 of the family's 3401-position model. The record is from RNAcentral. Lineage: Eukaryota; Fungi.